GAAAAAACUAGAGGCUCUCAAGAGCCUAUGUCGCUCACCUGUAUUUACUGAUGCUUUGGAAAUCAUGUAAAAUAAGUUAAAAUCAUAAUUAAUAGUAUUAGAUAUUAGAUAUUAUAAUGAUAUCUAAGAUAAUAACAAAAAACUGCCAAAUUUUUGUAAAAUUACUAACUCAGGGUCAGCAACCCAACAACGGGUCGUCGGAUUUGUCUGAAAAUUUCAGGGCAGAUUAAUCUAAAUCUGAUGAACAUUUUUGCCACCUGUCAGAUUUGCUCUAAAUGCUUUAGUUUCAGAGAUAUAAACCAAAAACUGCAUUUUACCCCUAAUGAUUAUGGCCAAGUAUGGUUAAAUUUGCAUCAGUAGUUUCAGAGAAGAAGAUUUUUGUAAAAGAUUACAAAAAUUUACAAAAAAUUGUUAAAAAUUGAUUAUUAAGGGCAAUAACUCCUAAAGGGGUCGACUGACAAUUUUGGUCAUGACAACUUAUUUGUAGAUCUUACUUUGCUGAACAUUAUUGCUGUUUACAGUUUAUCUCUAUCUAUAAUAAUAUUCAAGAUAAUAACCAAUAAAAUGCUCCGCAGGGCGCAGCUUGAUACGACCGCAGAGGUCGAACCCUGAACAGUUGGGGCAAGUAUGGACACAACAUUCAAGCUUGAUACAGCUCUGAAUUUGGAUUGUGAUUAAAUAUUUGACACAGCAUAGGUUUCUGACACAGAAUGAAUGUGGUCUAAGAACUUAAAAAUUUUAAAUUGGACAUUCACCUAUUAU
Molecule: long non-coding RNA, 762 nt
Organism: Mytilus californianus (California mussel)
Lineage: Eukaryota; Metazoa; Mollusca; Bivalvia; Mytilida; Mytilidae
Exons: 3
Source: RefSeq, a predicted model, not a curated record